Molecule: ribosomal RNA, 480 nt
Filed under: uncultured bacterium
Lineage: Bacteria
Description: partial 16S ribosomal RNA
Rfam family: Bacterial small subunit ribosomal RNA
Source: RNAcentral
GACGAACGCUGGCGGCGUGCUUAACACAUGCAAGUCGAACGAUGAAGCCCUUUCGGGGGUGGAUUAGUGGCGAACGGGUGAGUAACACGUGGGUAACCUGUCCUGUACUGUGGGAUAAGCCUGGGAAACUGGGUCUAAUACCGCAUAAGACCUUUGGACGCAUGUCUUUUGGUGGAAAGUGUACGUGGUAUGGGGUGGGCCCGCGGCCUAUCAGCUUGUUGGUGGGGUGAUGGCCUACCAAGGCGGUGACGGGUAGCCGGCCUGAGAGGGCGACCGGCCACACUGGGACUGAGACACGACCCAGACUCCUACGGGAGGCAGCAGUGGGGAAUAUUGCACAAUGGGCGAAAGCCUGAUGCAGCGACGCCGCGUGAGGGAUGACGGCCUUCGGGUUGUAAACCUCUUUCGCUAGGGACGAAGCGCAAGUGACGGUACCUAGAUAAGAAGCACCGGCUAACUACGUGCCAGCCGCCGCGGUAA